UGGAGCUGAUCACUAUGAAGACCAAAACAGUGAACUUCGUACUUAAUAUUUGCAUAUUAUAUAGUUAUUUAAGUUUUAUAGUCAUUUUGUCCUUUUAUUGAUUAGUUUUAGCUAAUUUCAUUGCUAAUCUAAUUAGUUUUUCAUAUUUGUUAAUUUUAGUUUUAAUUUGUGAAUUUCUUCUUGUUUUAUAGGUUAAAUGGUGCCUUUGAAGAUUUAGGAGUCAAUUGCAUGUGUGAAGAGUAAAUUCUAAGCAAAAAGAUGCCAAAAAUGAAGUGCAAAAAUUGUUGAAGUUAGUGGCCACCGAGAAUUGCACAAGGAGCUGCUCAGCCCGUGCAACUUGCAUCCAGAAAAAUAGAGUUGUCAAAAGUUGCCAAAAGUUGCACAGGACCCCGCAUGGCCAUACAGCUGCUUAUACAAAAAUUCAAAAAAUAAUUUCAAACACACCGAAAGUUGUACAGCCUCCUAUAUGGUCGUGUAACCACUUAUGCAGAAAUUUGAAAAUUGUUCAAAGUUGCCAAAAGUUGCAUAGCCUCUUGCAUGGCCAUGCAACUGCUCAUGCAACAAUAUGAACGAUUGCUCAAAAGCUGCUGGGAGUUUCACAGGGACCUACUUGGCCAUGCAAGUCCAUCCUUGCCCAUCCUUCUCAGACCUAAUUCUCUACAAAAAUGCUACACAAGCACUUGCACAGCCAUGCAACUUUAUUGAAUUCAUCUAAUGUGACAUAAUUUACACGUGCAAUGACCUGAAACAAGCUCCAUUUUUAGCCUAUUCUAGGGUUUUUGUCAGAGGAUAUAAAAGCCUCCUUACAUCAUUUUUUACUGUAAGAAGAAAGAUUUUGAAAAAACAAGAAAGAGAAAAGGGCAACACACCAUGUUUGUCGAGUAACCUUGGAUUUGCCUUCUUUACCAUUUCCUCAUGCCACACAUCGGGUUUUUCAAUUUUAGUUUAUUUUUCAUGUUUUAUUUCAUUUUUUUUUAUAUAAAAUCUCUUGUAUGAACAUGGAUUAUGAGUAGUUUCUUAAGAUUCUGGAAUUUGGAUAUAAUAUUUGAGUUAUUUUGUGGAUUUGAACUAGUUUAGUUCAGAUUUUAUAAUUUUUAUGAGAUUUAAUUCAUUUCCUG
This 1118-nucleotide unclassified non-coding RNA is filed under the name Hevea brasiliensis (rubber tree). Lineage: Eukaryota; Viridiplantae; Streptophyta; Magnoliopsida; Malpighiales; Euphorbiaceae. The record is from RNAcentral.